UAUGUUUUAGUAUAUGAGGUACAUAAGUUUUUGAUACUUAAAGAGGUAGUUAAAUUCUACUAAAUAUAA
This 69-nucleotide transfer RNA is filed under the name Photinus pyralis (common eastern firefly). RNAcentral describes it as "tRNA-Gln". The record is from RNAcentral. Lineage: Eukaryota; Metazoa; Arthropoda; Insecta; Coleoptera; Lampyridae.